RNAcentral lists this non-coding RNA (28 nucleotides) under Rattus norvegicus (Norway rat). Lineage: Eukaryota; Metazoa; Chordata; Mammalia; Rodentia; Muridae. The record is from RNAcentral.
UCAGCAAGUGGAGCAGUAAUCCCAUGGU